Molecule: non-coding RNA, 28 nt
Filed under: Mus musculus (house mouse)
Lineage: Eukaryota; Metazoa; Chordata; Mammalia; Rodentia; Muridae
Source: RNAcentral
UGUUAGGAUGGUGUAGUGAACAAGGUCA